CAGCCGGAUAGCUGCGCGGCGGAAAGUAAAAUCCGUUCGUGAGGAAAGUCCGGGCUUCAAGGAAACAAGACACCGGAUAACGUCCGGCCGGGGAGACCCGAGGGAAAGUGCCGCAGAAAUAUACCGCCCGUGGCCGCCGGAGCCGGCGGCAAGAAAGCGGGUAAGGUUGAAAAGGCGGGGUAAGAGCCCACCGCGGAGCUGGCAACAGCUCCGGCCAGGUAAACCCUGUCUGAAGCAAGACCAAGUUAGGAGGGCGGGAGCUUCGGCUCCGGUCAUACGGAUGGUUUCCAAUCCACUCCAGAGGUAGGUCGCGUUGAGCCGUACGGCAACGUCCGGCCCAGAUGAAUAGCUAUCGCGCCGCAAGGCGUACAGAACCCGGCUUACAGGCUGCCUG
This 394-nucleotide RNase P RNA is filed under the name chicken gut metagenome. RNAcentral describes it as "Bacterial RNase P class A". It matches the Rfam family "Bacterial RNase P class A". From Rfam's summary of the family: Ribonuclease P (RNase P) is a ubiquitous endoribonuclease, found in archaea, bacteria and eukarya as well as chloroplasts and mitochondria. The record is from RNAcentral.